UGGGGAAUAUUGCGCAAUGGGCGAAAGCCUGACGCAGCAACGCCGCGUGAGUGAUGAAGGCCUUCGGGUCGUAAAGCUCUGUCGGAGGGAACGAAUGCUCCUGAAGUUAACAGCCUCAGGAGGUGACGGUACCCUCAAAGGAAGUGGCGACUAACUCUGUGCCAGCAGUCGCGGUAAUACAGAGGCCACAAGCGUUAGUCGGAAUCACUGGGCUUAAAGGGUGCGUAGGCGGGCCCGCAAGCGUCUUGUGAAAUCCCAUGGCUCAACCAUGGAAUUGCAGGGCGAACUGCGGGUCUUGAGGCAGGUAGGGGCCGGAAGAACAGUAGGUGGAGCGGUGAAAUGCGUAGAUAUCCACUGGAAUGCCGAUGGGGAAGCCGUCCGGCUGGGCCUGUCCUGACGCUGAGGCACGAAAGCGUGGGGAGCAAACAGGAUUAGAUACCCCUGUAGUCCCUGAGCGGGCUGGCAAGGCGCAU
Molecule: ribosomal RNA, 473 nt
Filed under: uncultured bacterium
Lineage: Bacteria
Description: bacterial SSU rRNA
Rfam family: Bacterial small subunit ribosomal RNA
Source: RNAcentral